This 402-nucleotide ribosomal RNA is filed under the name bacterium. RNAcentral describes it as "partial 16S ribosomal RNA". It matches the Rfam family "Bacterial small subunit ribosomal RNA", at positions 355 to 776 of the family's 1533-position model. The record is from RNAcentral.
UGGGGAAUUUUGCACAAUGGGGGAAACCCUGAUGCAGCGACGCCGCGUGAUUUAGAAGGCCUUCGGGUUGUAAAAAUCUUUUCUAUGGGAAGAAAAUGACAGUACCAUAGGAAUAAGGACCGGCUAAUUACGUGCCAGCAGCCGCGGUAAUACGUAAGGUCCGAGCGUUGUCCGGAAUCAUUGGGCGUAAAGGGUACGUAGGCGGGUAAGCAAGUUAGAAGUGAAAUCCUAUAGCUCAACUAUAGUAAGCUUUUAAAACUGCUCAUCUUUAGGUAUGGAAGAGAAAGUGGAAUUCCUAGUGUAGCGGUGAAAUGCGCAGAUAUUAGGAGGAAUACCGGUGGCGAAGGCGACUUUCUGGCCAUAACCUGACGCUGAGGUACGAAAGCGUGGGUAGCAAGCAGG